CGAAACCAACCCCGAAAAGAGACAUCUUAAGGACAUCGGUAAAAGACCGGUUUGAUAGAGUCGGGAUGUACGCACCAAGGCAACGAGGUGUUCAGUCCGCGGCUACUAACGUCCGAGCCACGUCUUUA
This 128-nucleotide ribosomal RNA is filed under the name Methanobacteriota archaeon. RNAcentral's name for it is "partial 23S ribosomal RNA". It matches the Rfam family "Archaeal large subunit ribosomal RNA", at positions 2855 to 2987 of the family's 2987-position model. Lineage: Archaea; Methanobacteriati; Methanobacteriota. The record is from RNAcentral.